RNAcentral lists this long non-coding RNA (24229 nucleotides) under Solanum lycopersicum (tomato). RNAcentral describes it as "long non-coding RNA (SLYC_LNC000805)". Lineage: Eukaryota; Viridiplantae; Streptophyta; Magnoliopsida; Solanales; Solanaceae. The record is from RNAcentral.
ACAAAGCCUUAACAACCCCAACAAAAUCAUGCUUAAAUCCAUAUUCUCCAAGAAAAUGCUUUGGUGGAAUGAUUUUUGUGUACACAUAGAAGGCUACACAACCAAUAGUUGGUCCAACCCAAAAGAUCCAAUGUCCAUCCCAAAGGUGACCUCCUCUAAUAAUAGCUGGCCCCAAACAUCUCGCCGGGUUCAUCCCCGCCCCUCCAUAGCCCUUUCUCGCGGUCACCGUGGUCGAGAUAAACACUAGAAGGCCUAACACUACACCAACAAUGGACAAGACAGUGACAUGUCCAAGAGACUUAGCUUGUCUAUGAUCAUAAGCCAUCCAAAUUGAAGCAAAGAGAAAAACAAAUGUACAAAAUAUCUCUAGCCAUAAGGCUUGGGCCAUCUCUAGGCCCACAAUAACGGGCCCAUUUGGGCCUGGUGCAAUUAUUGUGAUAGUGCAACCACCAAGUGAGAAAGUGUCUUCAAUUGAUGAACUAACCACUGCUCUGAGAGCUAGUGCACCUAAAAUUGCACCAACACAUUGUGCCAUUAUGUAAAUUAUGGCUCUUGACAUGGAUAUAAUUCCGACGAGCGCGGCCGAGAAGGAGAUAAUCGGAUUGAUAUGGCCUCCUGACACCGGAACAACAGCCAGGAGUAGAAUUGUGAUCACAAUUGCAAUGAGAAUUGACAUGAUCAAAUUUGGCAUUUUCGUAUCACUUUCUAAAGUGGAAAUCACUAUAGUAUCCAACAUGAAAACAAGAACCGCUGAGCCUAGGAGUUCUCCCAUCGACGCUCGCCAUACCUGUAUAACAAUAACAACAACAAAAAUUAUGCAUGGAUAAUGCUCGAUUUAUUUAUUAUGAAGGUAAUAAGAGAUGAAAUUAAAAUAUAUUACUAACAUCCAAACAAAAGAAAUCAGGAACGCCCAGCCUUUCAGAGAAUGAGAGAAAAAUUGGCUUCUUUCCCUCAUCGUCAAUAGUAUUCCUGCUAAUCGGAAUGUACAAUAAUUAAUUAGGACAAAUAAAAUGUUUAGUUUUUUCAUAUUGUUACUCAACUAACUCUUACUAUCUCAGAAAGUCACCGUUUCAAAACUUUCCAACAAAGAAAUUGACAUUCUGAGAUAAUAAAUAUUGGUUAAGUGACGAUAUGAGAAAUCAAUAUAAUAUCACAAUAAAUCGAAGAGAUUAAUUUGACAUACUUCCUUGAUGUAGAAGAACAAGGUUGAACUUUAUUAGUCCCACCAGGAAGCUGGUUUUCCUCAUCACCAAAAACAACAUUAUUCUUUGAAGCCAUAUGUGGGAGAAAACUAAGAUAGUUGAUCCUAGUAUGUAGCUAAUUAAGGUUUUAAUUGUGUGCAUGGAAAUGGGUUAUAAAUAUUAAAAAUACUACUCUCCAACCUCCACUGCCUAACCUAUCUUUUAUUGUUAUUAUUAUUAAUUAUUAAAAUAUAAUAAAGUUUUAUUUGCCUGUAUAUAUCAAGCAGAAGAAUCUCUUGGCCAAUUUUAUUGGGGGAGUCAAUUUCUCAUUAAUUUUUUUAAAAAAAAAAUUAUUAUAAAAUAUGGUAGUUCUACUACUAAAUGUAAGGAUUUGACAAUUCCUCAUUAAAAUUGUAGGCCUUUUUGUGAUUAGGAAAUAAUUUAAGAAUUGUAAGCUAUACUUUUCAUCCCCUUUAUUAUUUACGAGUCAUUAAAAUAUAUAAAGUAUUAGUGAAAGGUAUUCGCACUAUGUGAACCUUAAGAAAUAUGCUAAUUUCUGAAUCAUAUGAGUUAUCGUACUUUUUGAAAAAAUAUUUAGUUUAAAAGUUUAUUAAUUUAAGAAAUUAAGAGAUGAUUAAAUUUUUAUUUUCACUUAAUAAAUAUAGAAAGGGAGUAAUGUGAUGAAAAUAAUUAAAAGGGUAGCAUCAAAUCAAAAUUAAAGAGUAAAUAAGAAUAAUUUAAUGAAAGUAUUUCUUUUUGUUAAUCUUUUGAAAAAGAGUGUAAUGAAAAAUAUAACAAGUAAAAUAGACCGGAGGAAUUGAUUAAUUUGUUAAAUUCGAAUUGAUUAAUUUGUUAAAUUCAAAAGAUAUUUUUCUCCCACCCUCUUUUAUGUAAAAUGGUUAUUUGUUUUAGGAGUUAAAUAUUUUUAAAUUUUCUUUGACUAAAUAAUUUUCUCAAAACUCUUUUUAAAUUCUUUCAAUUAUAUUAUCAUGUUAACUUAUUUUAUUUUUAAAUGUAUAAUUUUUAUAUUAAGAAGUUUGAGGGAGGGAGGGGUAUAUACCUUACUUCAUAGUAAAAAUUGAGUGGUUUAUCCUUAGUAAUAUUGAAUCCCUUCUUAUAAAUUAGGGAAUAAACAUCAUUUCUCUCUCUCUUUUAGCAUGAUUUAAUUGUGGAGUAAUAAAAUGAGAGUCCAAAAAACAUAUUACAUAUAUAUGUUUUUUUUGAGUCCGGAGCCCAAAAAGGUAUAAAAUGUUAACAAAAAAUUUAAAAUGAUAAAAUCGCUGCAAUAGCAAUGAUCGCUGCCCUUGCAGCGAUUUGCUCUUAAUAUUUUUUUAAUUUCAAAUAAAUAAUUAAAAAAAUUUAAGAAAUCGCUGCUUUGGCAGCGAUUUAUUAAAAAAUUAUUUUAAAUCAUUAAAAAAAAUUAUUUUGGAAAUAGCGAUUUCUUUAAAAAGAAUUUUUUUAAAAAAAAAAUCAAAUUUUGCAAAACGCUACUAUUGCAGCGAUUUUGCUUUUUCCGGCGAGCGAAAUCGCUGCUCUUCUAUUGAUUUUUCCCUUUUGGUUAAAAUAAAAAUUCAUAUACCGUUUUGAAAAUUUUGUUAACAUUUUAUACCCUUUAGGCUCGGGACUCUAUGUUUUUUUUGUAAGUCAAGUAUUUUGAAACUACCACAAUGUUUUGAUCAUUGUUAUCCAUUGUAUUGUGUUGUAUUGUUGCUAUAUCUACAAUGUUUAUUUUGAUUGUUACUUAAAAUAUAUUGUACUGUAUUGUUAAAUUUCAUUGUUACGUAACAAUGAAAACCCUUAAUGGAACAACCUAUUUGGUGUGUUCGCAUUGUUAGUUAAUUUCUUUUUUCAAUUAUAUCUUUACAUAAUAUUUCAAAAUACUAUUUUACCCUUUACGUUAAUUAUUUAAAUAUUAUAAAUUUAUAAUUUACAAUACAGUACGAUACAAUUAAACUAAACAAUUAAAAUGUUAUUAAACAACAACAAACAAUAUAGUUUGAUCAAACCUUAUAUCUACCAUAUAAUGCAGUACAAUAUAAUGAAAAAUACAUAACAAUGAUCCAAAUUAAGCGUAAAUAAUUCAGUAAUAUGGGAAGACAAUUGUUGUUGGGGAGUAGAGGAAAUACAAUAUAUUUUAAAAUAGGUAAAUUAAAGAACGCGACAAAUUGUAUGGAAGUAUCAAAAAGUGAGACUUGAUAUUAGCAUUGUUUGCUCCAUGAUUUGUGGUUUAACUAAUAAAUGAAGUCACGCUCAUUCAAAUCUAUAAUGUCUCAAAAUUACAUCGAUAAACAUUUUAUUUUUGCUCUUAACUCAUAUAUGCUUAGUAUUUUAAUGGUCAUGUGGUAUUCAAAAUUCAUGAACAUUUAUGGAAGUAAGUUUGAAAUCUCAAACAAAGUGGUAUUACUUUUAUGUGUAUAUAGGUGAAACUUUUUUAGUGUCUUUGUCAUUUUGAGACGCUUGUUCCUUAAGGCAUGAUACAAGUAAUUCCAUUUUAAAUUAAUUUUCUCAUGCAAUCAUGUGAAAAAUUAUGCCUUUUGACUUCUUAUAAUAUGAUAUCUCCAUGCUCGAAUUAGAGUGACUUGUGUUGGGAAUAAAUCCGUAACAGAAAUAAUAUUUGCGGUAAUAAGGCAAUAAAUGCGGAACACAACAAUACGAUUAAUCAACGAGAAUAAAAGAGAAAUAAUGACAUGACACCAAGAUUUUAUGUGGAAACCCUUCUAAAUAAGAGAAAAACCACGACCCGAGAGGAGCAACGAAUGUCAUUGUAGUAAGGAUUUUACACUUGUAUGUCUGAGUAAAACUCCAAAGACCACUACACAUUCAAAAGAAAUAACACUCUUUUGAAUUUUCUACCUCACUACAAUAUCGCUCGCACUUUCUAUUUUUUUCAUAGAUUAUUUUCCUCUGUGAUGCCUCACUCUUCUUUCUUUCCUUUGUAAUUCUUUUUGGUGCAUUUUUGAAAUGAGCAAGGGCUCUGUAUUUAUAGGAAAAUCUACUCCUAAUGAUGUCACCAGUGACAUCACAAAAAACACAAGAUUCAACCUUUUCACCUAUGUAGAAAUCUUGCUAAGAUUUUAGUUGAAAAAAGAAAUGGUGAGCUUUGAAUUUUGUUGCAGCAUUUGUUGACUUUAACAAUAAGCAACAAACAAAAUUCAACUAUUUCUGCAUUUUAACUUUCCUUAUGUUUAUCUACAAUGGGUAUGGACUCCACUAAUCUCCCCCUCCAUACCCAUUCACCUGAAGGAGGUAGCUCUAGGUUUCUAGCUUGAGUGCAUGCCAACAAGUUCUUUGCAUAGCUCAAACUUGUCCCUUGAUACCACCUUGGUCAACAUAUCUGAAGGGUUUUCACUAGUAGGGAUCUUUAUGACCUGCAUAGAUCCGUCCUCUAUCUUUUCACGAAUCCAGUGAUAUCUCACGUCAAUAUGCUUCGUCCUUGCAUGGUACAUGGUGUUCUUUCUCAAGUCUAUUACACUCUGACUGUCAUAAUAGACGACAUACUCCUUCUGAUGCAAUCCAAGUUCUUGAAGAAAUUGUUUCAGCCAUACCAUCUCUUUGCCAGCUUCAGUAGCUGCAAUAUAUUCUGCCUCAGUUGUAGAGAGUGUGACACACUUCUGCAACUUUGACUUUCAUGAUAUAGCUCCCCCUAAAAAUGUAAACAAAUAUCCAUUAGUGGAUUUUCUAUUAUCGAGGUCACAUGUCAUAUCAGCAUCAGUAUAGCCCUUCAAGAUUGGAUCAGAUUCUUUAAAACACAAGCAAUCUCUUUUGGUACCUCUUAGAUACCUAAGUAUACACUUAAAUGCCUCCCAGUGUUCUUUUCCAGGAUUUUCAAGGAAUAUGCUAACAACACCAAUUGCAUGAGCAAUAUCAGGUAUUGUACACACCAUCGCAUACAUCAAACUCUCCACUGUUGAAGAAUAAGGAAUUUUAGCCAUUCCCUCUUUCUCCUUUUUUGUUGUAGGACACAUCUGUUUGCUCAACUUCAGAUGACUCGCAAGAGGCGUGCUAACAGGUUUAGCACUCUUUAUGUUGAAGCAUUCUAGUACACGUUCAAUGUACUUCUCUAAAGAUAGUCACAACUUUCUUUUUUUUCGUCCUCGAACAAUCUUCAUCCCUAGAAUUUGUUGUACUGGGCCCAAGUCUUUCAUGUCAAAUGACUUGGAUAAAUCUUUCUUCAACUUUGCAAUCAUCUCUUUUCUUGUCCUACAAUUAACAUGUCAUCCACAUAUGACAACAAAAUAAUAAAAUUGUUAUCAGAAAAUCUUUUGAAGUAUACACAUGGAUCAAAAUAGGUCUUUGUGUACGUUUGACUUUUCAUGAAAGAGUCAAACUUUUUGUACCAUUGCCUUGGGGCCUGUUUCAACCCAUAAAGACUCUUAUUAAAUUUGUACACCUUGUUUUUCUUUCCAGAUACUUCAAAUCCCUCUGGUUGCUCCAUAUAAAUCUCAUCUUCCAAAUCUCCAUGAAAAAAAUGCAGUUUUCACGUCCAAUUGUUCCACUUUAAAUCUAGACUAGCUGCUAUGCUCAAAAUAGUUCAAAUAGAAGUCAUUUUGACAACGGGUGAAAAAAUUUCAUCAAAAUCAAUACCUUUCUUUUGUUCGAAGCCUUUUACAACCAAUCGAGCUUUAUACCUCACCAACUUGCCAUUUCCAUGUUUCUUGAGUUUAAAGACCCACUUGCACUUAAGUGGUCUUUUCCUUUUGGAAGUUCAAUUAGCUGGUAUGUGCCAUUUUUCGGUAGAUAUCCCUCUCUUCGUGCAUAGCUUUCAUCCAUUGGCUCUUUUCUGGAUGAGACAACACCUCCUUAAGACUUUCUGGCUCACCUUCAUCAUUGAUAAGGACAUACUCUGAGGAAGGGUAUUUGGUUGAUUCUACCCUUUGUCUUUCUGAUCUCCUCAAAGGUUGAGAUUGUUCUUCUUCUGGGUACUCCAUUUGGUCGGUAUUAUCACCAAGUUGCUCCCCCUGCUCAACAAUCUCAUCAGGUUGCUCUUCAUGCUCAGCAACUUCAUCAAUCAUACUUUCUGCACUUAUGGGAUGGUUAGAAGAAGAAGGAAUGGUAACAAGAUUAGGGACUAUACCAUUCUUUUUCUUGGCCUUCUCGGAUAGAUUAUCAGCAGUUCCAACUUCACUUUCUCGAAAGAUUACAUCUCUACUUCUGAUGACCUUCUUCUUUACAAGAUCCCAUAGUCUGUACCCGAACUCUUCAUCUCCAUAUCCGAUGAAUAUGCAAGGAACUGAUUUAUCAUCUAGCUUGGUUCUUUGAUCCUUCGGUACAUGUGCAAAAGCUUUACAAUCGAACACCUUUAAGUGCGAUUAAGACAUCUCUUUGUUGGUCUAAACUCUAUCCGGAAUGUCAAACUCCAACGGAACUGAUGGACUACGAUUGAUAAGAUAACACGCUGUCCGAACUGCUUCACCCCAGAAUGUUUUGGGUAAUUUAGACAUUCUGAGCAUGCUUCUGACCAUCUCAACAAUGGUGCGAUUCAUUCUCUCAGCUACACCAUUGUGUUGUGGGGUUCCAGGAACUGUCUUUUCAUGUCUAAUUCCAUGAUUUGAAUAGUACUCUUCAAAUUCUCUUGAAGUGUACUCACCUCCAUUGUCGGUUCGGAGACGUUUUAGCUUUUGACAUGUCUCUCUUUCUAUCAGAGCAUGAAACUUUUGAAAUACUUGAAACACCUGAUAUUUGUUUCUCAAGAUAUAAACCCAUAAUUCUCGAGAAGCGUCAUCAAUAAAGGUAACAAAGUAUUUAUUACCUCCUAUCGAUUCUAUCACCAUUGGACCACAAAUAUCAGAAUAUACCAAAUCAAGUAUAUUCGACUUUCUUUCAGAUGAUGUCUUAAAUGAGACUCUAUGUUGUUUACCAAAUAAGAAGUAGUUCACGAUUUUAUUGUUGUACCUUUGGCAAAAGAGAUGAGUGAAUUUUGGAAAGAAUUUGCAACCCUUUCUCGCUCAUAUGACCCAUUCUUUUAUGCCAUAAAUCUGCAAAAUUUUCUUCUUGAGCCGCAUUUAAUUCACCUUGGAAUAUUUUUGCAUUUGUCUUGUAUAACAUGCCACGAGCAACUCCUUUUGCAAUCACCAAUGCCCCUUUGGUGAGUCUCCAUUUUUUAUUUGCAAAGUAGUUCUCAUAUCCAUCUUGGUCCAAAGCGAUUCCUGAGAUCAAGUUCAUCCGCAAAUCAAGUACGUGGCGCACAUGUUUCAAUACUAAUGUGCAUCUGAUAUGCUCAAACUUACUUCUCAAAUAAGAAGUAAAGCGGUCGUGUCAAGUAAAUAACCCAACUAGUGAGGUUGGGAUCGUUCCCACGAGGAAAAUAGUCUAGACUUAACUUCAAUCUAUUAUUACUUUUGUUUAAUCAAUUACUUCAUUGGAAAGUAAAAACAAUAAAAGGGGGGUUUCUAUUUCUAAAUGAAUGAAAAUAACUACCUAAAUUAAAAGAGACACUUAACAUCUUUGAAUGUUGGAUUUUAAUCAAUUAAUCAAAGUAACUAGGGUUUACGUGUUCCCCACAGGUUCAUAACUUGAUAAUUCUAACCAUAACAAUUCUUUCCUAGUAUCUUGCAUGUAAAGUGAUAAGUUAUGUAUUUCUAACUCCUUGGUCCGGCAUCUAGAAAAUCUCACUCCGCACCAUGGUCCGGCUACAUGUGUUGUUAUCCUAACCCUUAUCUUUACCUCAUAUUAAGCAUCGUAUUCGAUAUUUGACUAAGUUAUUACCUCGUACCAAUCAAUAAUAGCCUAUUAGAUAGUAUACACUAAAUCUAUGUUGAUAAUUCUUUUCCUAUUAUCUACCUCCUUGGUUCGGCAAGUAGCAUUAAGGAAAGUUCUAACGUUGGCCAUCCGUUAAAAAUAAUUCUAAGCGAAAGAAUUAUUAAUACAUGCAAGUCACUAUUCUAGAAUUGUUAUUUUAGUUAGGUUUUAUCUCAUUAUUUGCCUAUGGUUCCCACAAACCUAGUUAUGGAGUUUAGUUACUCAUAGUCAUAAUCAUAAUAUUCAAAUAUAUUCAAAUAAGAAUUCAUGUACUUGCUUCAAUGAGAAAGAGUAAAAUCCAAAAGUUUGCUUGAUUAAUCACUUGCAAGAAUCUCAAAGUAAUCAAUAAUCUCACAAAAAGUCUAACAAUAAUCAAGAAUCUAACACUAAUACAUAGAGUCUAAUAAUGAUCCAGAGUCUAACUAAUAAUACCGAGUCUCCCUAAAAAUGAGGUUUUUUGAACUAUUUAUAGAAAAUAAAAACCUAAUUAAACAAGGACUCUAUUUGCUGGAAAUCUGUCAAAACGCGGCUGGGUCGACGGACAGCGCGACAGAUCGUCGUGGUCACGACGGACCAUCAUAGACUCCUUCGUCCCAUACUUGAUGAAAUUUCUAUUACUGCUCUCUUCAUUACCCUCGACGGCAAGUAUGACGGACCAUCAUAGGCACAACGGCCCGUCGAGGGUCUUCGUUUGAAAACACUUAAACUCUUGGAAUAUGGGUACUGGAUUAAUUCUCUGAACUUCAUGACUAACCUGCAGGACGGACCGUCAUAGACACGACGGACCGUCAUGGACUCCGUAACCCCACACUUGGUCAGACUUUCCCAUCUUCCUUCAGUAGCUGCACUACGCUGCCACUUACAGACCGUCACAAGCAUGGCGGACCAUCACAAGCUCCGUAGGUGGUCUCUUCUACAUGCCUUCACUCAAAAAACUCCGCAUACAUCUUUGAACAGAUUUCCUGCAAAUAAAGAGAAACGUAUAUAAAAAUUAGCACAAAAGACUUUUGGACACACUAAACUUAAGGAAAAAGUGUUAAUAAUACCGUGAAAACACGGUAUAUCAACACUCUCAACUUAAAUUUGCUGUUUGUCCUCAAGCGACGCACUAUGACUCAAUACAAAAUCUUUGUCCAAUAGUAUCCAUGGUUUAUCCUUUGCAAUCAUUUGGCUAUCAAUCUCGAUUAAUCUCAUCAUAUCUAUGCAUGUUAUCACUAUUAGGCUUGAAUUAUGUGGGACCAGAACAUGACACAGACUAACCAUGUACUAACACUUAUCCUCUUCAAUUUCUCACCGGUGUGCUAACAAUUUCGGUAUUGCAACUAGUGUCCUUACUUUAAAACAAAAUCCUCAUUUUUCACACAAUGAUUUCAGUUGAGUAUAAGAAUUACUUUUCAACACUCGCUCUCAGAAAAAAUUCACACUCAUUCACACCUAUUGCCAUAAGCUUGCCCUUAUUUUCACUGCCUUAAGUUCACUAUACAACCCUUAGGAUCACGAUAGGAAUUUCUUAGCUUGUAACAUAGGCUCAGGGUCAGGUAGGGUAUAUUUAGGUAUACUUUAGUGUCUUUUUGCUCUCCUUGACAUAUCGGCUAAACCUACCACUUUCUAUCAUUUUAUCUCGCCCAGUUUCUCAUAUUCUUUCACCUUGCUAUUUUCUCUUCUUUCUUCAUUUGUGUAAGUGACUCUCUUAUUUUCUUGCUUGUAUUUCUUGUAUAUUUUUCUUUUUCUUUACUUUUCUUUCAACUAAUUCUUGAGUCACUUUACUUAUGUUCUUUCUUUCUCUUUGUUCUUUCAACCCCACUUUCCAGAGCAUUCCUCAUAAUAGUCACCCUCAACUCAUGGCUUUGCCAUGAGUCAAGGUACACAAUACCCAAAGUUGGGUCAGGUCCAUAACGAAGGUUGUUUUCUAAAUUAGCCACCCUCAACUUAUGCUUUUGGCAUAAACUGAGGUGCACAUGUCCAAGGAGGGACCAGGGCCAACACAUUAUUCCCAGAAAAGAUCAGUUGGGGUGAAAAAGAAAGGUCUAAUUUAGGCUCAGAUCAUUUGGAUCAAAGAAGGAUAAAUUUCAUUUGGUUUUCUUUUAUUUAGGCUAAGAAUGGGCUAUAUUGAAUAAGGGCCUAUGAUCCUUUCCUAAUUGUUUAUUACAGCUUACUUUUAGCAUGAAUAACCAGGCAAGUUCUAGGUCAGUACAAAUGGUGGACUAUUUAAAUCUUCCUCACACUCACUUGACAUCUCAUCACUAUACCAGAUUAUCAGACACCUAGUUUGAAUUUUAGACUUAGGGUAAUGCAAUGGUGUACCUCUAUGUCAUGCUUAGAGCCACACAUUUAUCAGUUACUAUGCCUAGUCGCGCAUCAUUUUCCAAUUUAUCAGGAUAUCAUUUUAGCCAUCAUGCUCAAGAAUUAAACUAUGUACAAAAGAUAUAGACAUGCCGGUUCAACAGAAAAAGUAAUCAGUCUCUUGGGGGAAAAGAACACAGGCAAGAAAAACCCCAAAAGAGGAUAGUGAAUUGGGCUACUCAGACUGCACCUUAUCACUCACUUUCCAUUUACCGCACCCCCAACAAAAAGACAUGCAAUUGUCCCCAAUGCAUAAAAAAAAUUGAAAUACAAGAGUGGUAGGUGAAGCAAACCUGGGGCGCAAAACGCCGACAAUCAGCACAAACCAUUGUGAUUAUGACGGUCCGUCGUCGAUGUCUGUCGUGGGACACUAAAAAAAUGGAGACCCUUAAGAGAGGGGUCUUUGACCGUCAUGACGGUUAUGCAGGACGGACCGUCGAGAGUAUGACGGUCCAUCGUAGAUGUCCGUUGGAGGACACUUAGAAAAUGUGAGAGACCCUUAGGAAUAGGGUCUCUGACAACCAGAACGGUUGUACAGGACGGACCGUCGAGAGAACGACGGUCCGUCGCAUGUGUCCGUUGGUGACUGUUGUAGAGUGAUUUUCUGCAGAAUUUCCUGGUGAUGUGCCUGCAAAUUUAAAACCCAUUAGUAGAAAAUGCUACCAUUACUAGAAAGAAUGAAAGGGGAAAAAAACUAUAAGUAUUGGGUUGCCUCCCAACAAGCGCCUGAUUUAACGUCGCGGCACGACUGAGGACACUUGAUUACUCAGACUUCAUCAAGAUGGUAUGCCUCUAUCAUUUCAUUCACCGAUGUAGUAUGCCAAAAAUAGAGUUUUAUUCGUUCUCUAUUCACCUUAAACCGCACUCCCUCCUUGGUUUUUAACACAACUGCUCCAUGAGGGAAUACUUGGGUAAUCAAGUAGGGGCCAGUCCAUUUAGACUUGAGCUUGCCCGGAAGACAAGGCACCCCAGAACUAUCUACAAGCACCAAAUCCCCAAUCAUAAACUCUUGUUUUGCAUUUUUUUCUUCAUUCUCUUUCUUCAUCUUUUCUUUGUGGGAUAUGGCUGAUACCGAUUGAAGCUCACCACUCUGCCUCAUGGUCCUAUAAAUGUUGAAGGUCAUUUCUUCAUUGUUCAAUCGAAAUUUCAUCUGCCCCUUUUUCAUAUCAACUAAGGCUCUACCUGUAGCAAGGAAUGGCCUCCCAAGAAUAAUAGGCACUUCAAAAUCGACUUCACAAUCAAGAAUAACAAAAUUAGCCGGAAAGAGGAAUGACUCCACUUUUACUAGCACAUCAUGAAGUAUCCCUAUAGUCCUUUUCACUGUCCAAUCAGCCAUCAGUAGCCGCAUCGCAGUGGGUUUUGGAUCACCCAAAUCCAACUUCUUGUAGAUCGAGAGGGGCAUGAGAUUUAUGCUUUCCCUCAGAUCACAUAAUGCUUUCGCAAAAUGUAAUGACCCAACUGUACAAGGAAUAAUGAACGCACCCGGAUCUUUUUUCUUUUGUACGAAGGAUCUUGUAGCAAUAGCACUACAAUGCUGCAGUCUAUCAUCAUCCUCAAAAGUGACCGAUCUUUUGUUUGUGACCAGAUCUUUCAUAAACUUGGCAUAACUGGGCAUUUGUUCUAGAGCUUCUACCAAAGGGACAUUGAUAGAGAGCUACUUCUUAUAAAACGCCGAUAUUUACCAUCCUCGGUCUUUUUCCCUACUCUCUGAGGGAAGGGUGGUGGUGGUCUAGGCAUGGGAAUUACCAUCAUAGGGAUUUCUGCAUCUUUUCCAUUGCUCUCUUCUUCCUUAACACUACCCUUUACCACCUUAUCAUCAUCCUUUCUCACAUUUUCCUCAUUAGACGGCAUAGGUGGGUCAAUGGUUUGCUUCCCACCCCGAGUAGUGAUUGUCAUACAGUGCGCAUCAUUUUUUGGAUUUUGGACAGUGUUGCUAAGAAGAGUUCCCGGUUGCCGUGUGUUCACUGUCGCAGAUAAUUGGGCCAUUUGCAAUUCGAUCUGUUUAAUCGAUAUUGCAGUAUCAACUUUUUGCCCAAUACUAGCUAAAUCACCCCUUAACUCUUUAAUGUGCUCAUCACUAGCAUCGAACCUCCUCAUCAUUUUGUGCAACAUAUCCUCAACUCGCGCCAUACUAUCUCCACCAUCCCUAGGAUUAACUUCACGAUUUUGAGGAGGGACAUAAGGCUCAUUCCUAUCAUUUCUGUUACCGUAGUUACCCCUAUUGAAGUUAUUGUCGCGGUUGUAGUUUCUAUUUCGGGCAUAAUGACCCUCAUAGUUAUAUUUACCAUAGUUUCGACCUUGGUGCCAAUUAUCCUGAUUUGAGCCUUGGACGCUCGGUUGGAAACCCCCUGUUUGCUCAUUUACCGCAUAGGAGUCCUUCGCAUAAUAGCAUUCAUCAUUAUAUGGUGGUUUCGACAAGUAGUUGACUGCAUUUAUCUUUUCUGCACCCCAGUGACAUGUUUUAGUACCAACCCAAGCUCAGUUCUCAUCUGAGCCAUUUCUUCGUGAAUCUCAUCUGUGGCUGGGUUGUGAGUGGACUGUACUGCGAAGGUGUUUCUCCCUAUGUCAGGCUUUCUAGUACUCCAAGCUUUAUUAUUUCAGGAGAUUUUCUCUAAUUUUUCAGCAAUCUCAACAUAAGGACACUCCCCAUAAGAUCCACCUGCUAUAGUGUCCAACACCGCUUUAUUAUUAUCAUCUUGUCCCCGAUAGAAGUAUUCCUUCAGUGACUCAUCAUCUAUAUGGUGAUUUGGAACACUUCUCGAGAAUGAGAUGAAUCUAUCCCAAGAACUACUAACUGACUCUCCUGGUAAUGCCACAAAGUUAUUCACUCUGUCUUUGUGGUUUAGUUUCUUGGAGACCGGAUAGUAGCAUGCUAAGAAAACAUCCCUUAGUUGGUUCCAAGUGAAGAUUGAGUUGUAUGGGAUCUCAGUGAACUAUAUAGCAGCCUCUCCCGUCAGUGAGAGAGGAAACACUUUGAGCCCUAUUACAUCUAAGUCCAAGUCAGGCCUCCCGAUACAGCUUUUACACACUGCCCUUACCUUAGCUAUAUGGGCAUGUGGAUCCUCAGAAGGUAGCCCUGAAAACAAACCUCUGGCAGUGAGCAUUUGCAUCAGGCUAUUAGUUACCACAAAAGUAUGGACUGUGGGUAGAGGAGGCAAAACAAGUGGCCCAUCGGAGGCUGCUAUGUUAUCAUAGCCUCUGUAGUAUGCUUGGGGCCGUGGAGCAGGAUUUUGUCCCCUCUAUUGGUGUUCACCCGGAGCAUCGGGUAACAACUGACCAUGAACAUCAACCGGAGCUGGGAUGUUCUGGUUUGGAUCAUCAUCAUUGAUUCCCAUGUUUCGAUUCAUAUUGCGUAGUGUACGCUCUAAUUCAUGAUCGUAGGGAAACAAGGAUUCUCUUCCUCUCCGUGUAUUUGGAAUACAAGGAGGAUAGUUCUAAUCAAUUAAUCAAAGUACUAGGGUUUACGUGUUUCCCACAGGUUCAUAACUUGAUAAUUCUAACUAUAAGAAUUCUUUCCUAGUAUCUUAAAUGCAAAGUGAUAAGUUAUGUAUUUCUAAAUCCUUGGUCCGGUAUCUAGAAAAUCUCACUCCGCACCUUGUUCCAGCUAUGUGUGUUGCUAUCCUAACCCUUAUCUUUACCUCAUAUUAAGCAUCGUAUUCGAUAUUUGACUAAGUUAUUACCUCGUACCAAUCAAUACUAGCCUAUUAGAUAGUAUACACUAAUCUAUGUUGAUAAUUCUUUUCCUAUUAUCUACCUCCUUGGUCCGGCAAGUAACAUUAAGGCGAGUUCUAACGUCGGCCAUCCGUUAAAAAGAAUUCUAAGCGAAAGAAUUAUUAAUACAUGCAAGACACUAUUCUAGAAUUGUUAUUUUAGUUAGGUUUUAUCUCAUUAUUUGUCUGUGGUUCCCACAACCCUAGUUAUGGAGUUUAGUUACUCAUAGUCAUAAUCACAAUAUUUAAAUAUAUUAAAUAAGAAUUCAUGUACUUACUUCAAUGAGAAAGAGUAAAAUCCGAAAGUUUGCUUGAUUAAUCAACAAUAAUCACUUGCACGAAUCUCAAAGUAAUCAAUAAUCUCACAAAAAGUCUAAUGAUAAUCAAGAAUCUAACACUAAUACACAAAAUCUAAUAAUGAUCCAGAGUCUAACUAAUAAUACCGAGUCUCCCCUCAAAAAUGAGGUUUUUCGAACUAUUUAUAGAAAAUAAAAACCUAAUUAAACAAGGAAUCUAUUUGCUGGAAAUCUGUCAAAACGCGGUUGGGUCGACGGACAGCGCGACGGAUCGUCGUGGUCACGACGGACCAUCAUGGACUCCGUCGUCCCAUACUUGAUGAAAUUUCUUCUACUACUCUCUUCAAUACCCUCGACGGCAAGUAUGACGGACCGUCAUAGGCACAACGGUCCGUCGAGGGUCUUCGUUCCAAAACACUUAAACUCUUGGAAUAUGGGUACUGGAUUACUUCUCUGAACUUCAUGAUGAACCUGCAGGAUGGACCGUCAUAGACACGACGGACCGUCAUGGACUCCGUAACCCCACACUUGGUCAGACUUUCCCAUCUUCCUUCAGCAGCUGCACUACGCUGCCACUUACGGACCGUCACAAGCUCCGUAGGUGGUUCCUUCUGCAUUUCUUCGCUCAAAAACCUACGCAUACAUCUUUGAACAGAUUUCCUGCAAAUAAGGAGAAACUUAUAUAAAAAUUAGCACAAAAAGGCUUUUGGACACACUAAACUUAAGGAAAAAGUGUUAAUAAUAUCGUGAAAACACGGUAUAUCCAUCUAAUAAUUGUUUUUAAGCACAUGUCUCUGAUCCCCGCAAUCUUCGAGUAACUUGUGUUACCCUUUUGCACAUUUCCAUAAUCACCUGCUACAUAUCUGCAAAAAAGAUCUCUUACCGGUGUGGCAUGAUAAGAUGUUGUUGUGUCGACCACCCAUUCCGACUCUAUACCUGCCAAAUGCAUGCAUUCUUCUUCCUCAUUUAUGAGGAGAACAACAUCGUCAUUAUUUUGCACCAUGGCAGUUGUGUUGUCAUCAUUCUUCUGGUCGCUGCUUUCCCCUUUGCCCCUUUUUAGAUUUGGACAAUCUCUUUUGAAGUGUCCUGGUUGAUCACAAUUGUAGCAAUUUCUGGCCUUUGAUUUUGAUCGGACCUUGGACUUUCCACGAGCUUCGGAUCUACCAUAGUUACUUGAGAUCCUUUGGUAACUUCUGCCUCUACUUUCCGUGAUGAGAGCCUGUCCGUGAUUUUCAGGCCUUUUUCUCAUCUUCUCAUUAAGCAAAUGGGCUGAUGUGACAUCCUUCAACUCAAUAGAGUCCUUACCAUGUAAAAUGGUUAUUGCUAAAGUAUCGUAGGAAGAUGGCAACGAGUUUAGGAGCCCUAUGGCUUUAUCUUCAUCCUCGAUCUUUACUCUGAGGUUUUCUAGCUGCGUGAUUAGUCCAUUAAGUACAUUUAAAUGAGACAAAAAAUUUGUACCUUCACCCAUAUGUAGCGCAUAUAACUGCUUCUUUAGGUACAAUUUAUUUGUCAGCGUUUUGGACAUGUAUAGAUUUUCUAACUUUGUCCAAAUGCCACAUGCACUCUCUUCAUCGAUGAUGUUAUUAACUACAUCAUUCGUUAAGUGCAAUCUGAUUGCACUAGCAGCCUUUUCAUCCAUUUCUUCCCAAUCUUCAAGUUUCAUGGAUUCGGGCUUUUUGGAUUUGUCGCCUAGUGCCUUGUGCAAACCCUGUUGGAUGAGCAAGUAUUUCAUCCUUCUCUGCCACGUUGAGAAACCGCUAUCACCGUUGAAUUUUAAUACCUCAUACUUUACUCCAGACAUUUUUUUAUUGAGUAUAGUACAAUAAGUUGCAAAAAAUAUUUCUGUAAAUGAGCAGAACCUGUGCUCUGAUACCAAUUGUUGGGAAUAAAUUCGUAACAGAAAUAAUAUUUGGGAUAAUAAGGCAAUAAAUGUGGAACACAACAAUACGGUUAAUCAACGAGAAUAAAAGAGAAAUAAUGACACCAAGAUUUUACGUGAGAACCCUCCUAAAUAAGGGAAUAAUCACGACCCGAGAGGAGCAACGAAUAUCACUAUAGUAAGGAUUUUGCACUUGUAUGUCUUAGUAAAACUCCAAAGACCACUAUACAUUCAAAAGAAAUAACACUCUUUUAAAUUUUCCACCUCACUACAAUAUCGCUCACACUCUCUAUUUUUCUUCACAGAUUAUUUUCCUCUGUGAUGCCUCACUCUUCUUUUUCUCCUUUGUAAUUCUUUUUGGUGCAUUUUUGAAAUGAGCAAGGGCUCUGUAUUUAUAAGAAAAUCUACUCCUAAUGAUUUCACCAGUGACAUCACAAAAAACACAAGAUUUCAACCUUUUCACCUAUAUAGAAAUCUUGCUAAGAUUUUAGUUGAAAAAAGAAAUGGUUAGCUUUGAAUUUUGUUGCAGCUUUUGUUGACUUUAACAAUAAGCAACAAACAAAAUUCAACCAUUUCUGCAUUUUAACUUUCCUUAUAUUUAUCUACAAUGGGUAUGGACUCCACAACUUGUUCUUGGUCUUAAAAUAACAAUAUAAACAACAAUCAAUCACAAAUGACUUUUUAAUUUACUUAGAUUACUAAUAAAUCUUUAUCUCUGGCCAAUAUAUGAUCAUUUCCCCUAACUUGGGCUUCUUCCCACCCUGAAAUUGUACCCAAACCUUUCCUCAAUGUUAACCACUUAGGGGUCGUUUGGUAGGCUGCAUUAGAAGAAAUAGUCCAUCAAUUAUGUAAGGUAUUAUUUAGUACUAUGUUUGGUAGGAAUUUGAGCCUAUGUAUAACUAAUCCAUGGAUUAGUUAUACCUCCAACAUGGUAUUAUAAUUUAUAGGAUGUAUUACUAAUACCUUCCAUUUGAAAGUAUUAGCUCUGAUACCAUGGGACUAUUCUAGGUAAAGACAAAAAUAUCCCUCAAAUUCUUCUAAUAUUUUAUUUAUUUUUUGAUUUUAUAUUUUAUAUUUUAUAUUUAUACUAAUAAAGUUAUUUAAAUAAAUUAGCUUACAAAUUAUAUUAUAUAGAUAUAAUUUUUUGUUUCUAAAAUAUGAAUUACUUUAUCUAAUUAUUAUUAAUAUAAAAUAUUAUAAUCCGACUAAUAUGUUAAUGUUGAUGUAUGAAUAUAAGAACAAUUCAUAAGUAAAAUAUUGUCUCUUAAUGAAAGUUCAUUAAACAUUACACAAGUAGUCUAAAACAAGAGUGUGUGUGUAUAUAUAUAUAUACACACACAUCUCGAGUAUAAAAAUAGUUUAAUUUAUUUUUCUAUAUUUAUUUUAUAUUUUUAUUUUAUUUUAUGAUAAAGAGUUUUUUAAAAUUUAUUGAUACAAAAUAAAAUUCAAUAAAUUUUCUCUAUAAUCAUUAUAGUUGUGUGACCUUUUGAGUUAUUAACUCUAAUUUAUUAAGAUAACAAUUAUUUACUCUCAAAUAAUUUAAGUGAGAAAAUAGUGAACAUGACAAUAAAAAAUUUAUUCUCCUAACUAGUUAAAAAUGUUAUAAAAAAAUAAUAUUCUCGAUUAAUUAUCUACUUUGAAUCAAUUACAUGAAAUACAAAAUCUCAUAAUAACUCUAGGGUAUAAUUGGAAUUUUUUUUAAAACUUUUAAACCACACACAAAAUAAGAUAAGAACAAUGAACCAAACACUUGAUAAAAAUAAUCUCUGUAUUACUAAUCCCUGCAUUAUUCAUUUUUGUAUCAAACGACCUAAGAAUUUGAGGAAUAAUUUACAAGAUUGAGGAGUCGAAUUUUUGCUUUUACCAUGGAAUUUCGUGGGAAAAAGAUAGCAAGUUUUUCAAACUUCCUCUCUCUGUUUUCAAGAACACAAUUGCAAAAAAUAUGAAUUUUGUGUGAACUGUAAGUUUGAGACUUAGCAAAUGCACCAGAAUAAUGUACAUUUAUUCAUAGGUUCCAAUGCCUUUUUAUAGGAAAUACAUGAAAGUUAAAGAAAAACGAAAAUACAGGACAUGACUCAACUAACUCCACUACUGACAGAAAAAUAGGAAAUAGAAAUUGACUUGUUCCAACCCUGAAGAAUAGGUCUUUGUUGAAGUAAACUAAAACUGAAGAAAAACUAACUCAACACUCCCUCCCUUGAACUGAACUCAAUCAAGAGUUUCAAUUCACAAUUUUUAUCCCAAAUGCUUCUCUGAUUCUUUGAAAUGAUGCCAUCCAAAGGCUUUGUCAUUAUGUCUGCCAGCUGCUCCUCAGUGCUGCAAUAGACCAAUUUAACAACACCUUCAUUUGCCAAUUCUCUGAGAAAAUGAUAUCGAACCCUUACGUGCUUUGACUUUCCGUGCAUGACAGCAUUUUUUGACAACUUGAUAGUGGAUGUGUUGUCACAAAACAGAACCAUCUCUUCAUCUUGUUCAUGCCCGAUUUCAUUCAAUAUUCUUUUCAUCCAGAUGGCUUGACAGGCACAUGUAGUUGCUGCUACAUACUCUGCUUCAGUAGUUGACAGAGUGAUGAUUGGUUGCUUCCUUGAGGACCAUGCCACAGCUCCUCCACUCAUUAAGAAAACAUAUCCUGAAGUGCUCCUACUGUCAUCCACAUCCCCCGCAUAAUCACUAUCGGUGUAGCCUAAGAGUUCACUUUUUCCUUCACGUUGAUACCAUAUUCCAAAUUCCAGAGUUCCCUUCACAUACCUCAUGAUUCUUUUUGCAGUACCAAAGUGCAACUCAGUAGGAUUUGCCAUAAAACGACUAAUAAGACUUACCACGAACAUCAAGUCAGGUCCUGUGGCUGUGAGAUACAUUAAGUUGCCCACCAUUUGCUUAUAUAAUGUUGAGUCGACCUUCACACCAGCUUCAUCCCGGCCAACCUUCUGUCCAAGGACUAUCGGAUUGCAAACAAAAUUGUAAUUCUGCAUCCCAAACCUCUCGAUCAGCUCAGCAGCAUAUUUUCUUUGACAUAUAAAGAUGCCAUCAGCCUUCUGUAUCACUUCAAUGCCAAGAAAAUAUCUCAUCUUCCCCAAAUCAGUCAUGUCGAAUUCAUCCUUCAUGGAGCGCUUAAACUCAUUCAACAACUCCUCAUCAUUACUAGUGAACAAUAAAUCAUCAACAUAAAUGCUCACAAUUAUGAGUUUACCUCCCUUUUGCUUGAUGAAUAAUGUUUGUUCACUAGAGCUGCUUACAAAAACUUUCUUGACGAUAUAAGCCUCAAUGCGACUGAACAAAGCUCUGGGUGCUUGUUUUAGUCCGUAAAGGGCCUUAUGUAGCUUAUAAACCAUGUUCUUCUUCCCUGCUACUUCAUAACCUUGUGGCUGCUCUACAAAUACAUCUUCCUUCAGCUCACAAUGUAAGAAAGCAGAUUUGACAUCUAGCUAAUAGAUUCCCCAUCCUCUUUGUGCUGCUACAGCAAUGAUCAUCCUUACUAUAUCCAUUCGAGCCACUGGUGCGAAUACCUCUGUGUAAUCUACUCCGUACUCUUGAGCAUAUCCUUUUACAACCAGCUGAGCUUUGAACUUGUCUAUCUCUCCCAGUUCAUUUAAUUUGGUCUUGUAAAUCCACUUAACCCCAAUAGCCUUGGCUCCAACGGGAAGUGUAGUUAGUGACCACGUGUGGUUCCAUUCGAUGGACUGUAUUUCAGCAUCCAUCACUUGUUUCCAACUCUGAUGUCUGAUGGCUUCUUGAAAACUGGUUGGAUCUGAUAUGAUCAUGAAAGCUAGAGUUUCAGUCUCGACUCUAGCCAUGUUUACUUCUUCCUCUAUAUCUGAUAGCCCUUCUCCUGUGGUAUAAUCUACAGACCCUAUUGGUGGUUUUCUUACCCUGCUAGUUAUUGUUAUCGUUUCUCCAGUUGAUGGAUUAUUUGGUGAAGUAACAUCAUCAAUGUAUUCUUCUGUUUCUUCCGCUUCCUCAACACUUUCAUAUUGUUUUCCCACUCAAGUUCAAUGCUUUCUUCACCAGAAUAACCAACAGCUUCCCAAUUCCACUUCUUAUCUUCCUCAAAAAUAUCACAUCUCAGCUAAUGUGAAUUCUUUUCUCCACUGGAUCGAACAUCUUAAAAGCCUUGGAUUCACUGCUGAAACCUAAUAGGACACACUUCACGCUUUUAUCAUCAAGCUUGCUUCUUUUAACAACUGGGAUAUGAACAUAACCAAUACAUCCAAAAACCCUGAAGUGUUCGACUGAUGGUUUUCUUCCACUCCAUGCUUCUUCUGGGGUCAUGUCUCUUACAAUGAGUGUAGGAGAUCUAUUAAGAAUAUGAUUCACCCAUUGCACAGCAUCUGGCCAGAAAACUCUUGGUACAUCCUUCUCUAACAAAGUUGCUCUCACCAUGUUCAUGAUUAUACGGUUUUUGCGUUCAGCAACACUAUUCUGCUGGGGUGUGAAGGCUGUGGUCAUCUGUCGUUUGAUUCCAUGCUCUCUACAGAAUUCCUUGAACUCAUUUGAGUUGUAUUCUCCUCUUCUAUAUGUUCUUAGACAUUUGAUGAACAAUCCAGUUUGCUUUUCCACAAAUGCUUUGAAUGUCUUGAACUGAUGAAAUGCUUUUGAUUUUUCUAGCACAAAAUAUAUCCAUAUUUUUCUUGAGAAAUCGUCAAUGAAGCUUAUCAAGUACCUUAUUUGACUGUUUGAUGGUGGAUUGAUCGGACCACAGAGAUCAGAGUGAAUAAGCUCUGCAAUCUUUCAGUGGCUCUCCACUUGCUCUGCUUCGGAAAUGGAACACGAUGGUGUUUCCCUUUGACACAUGCCUCACAGGUGGUUUUCACAUCUCCAAUUUCAGGUAAUCCCACAACCAUCUCUUUACUGCAUAAUGUGUGAAGUCCCUUGUAGCUGAGAUGCCCAUAUCGAUGGUGCCACAGCUCUGCCUCGUCUGAGAUGUCAACCUGUAAGCAUUUCUCCUCUUUUGUUUUGUCAUUUGAUUCACCUAGCAAGAUAAACAUUCUAUUAGCACUCAUAACAUAUUCUGUUAUCUUUCCUCUCGAGGGAUGAAAGAUGUUGCAUGUGUUCUGAUCUCCUCCUUUGAAUAGCACAUCUAGACCCCUUUCUUGAAGUUGUCCAACACUCAGCAGGUUGUUCUUCAAUUCCGGAAUAUAAUACACAUCGUUGAUCACAUAGUUUAUUCCUUUAAGCAAUAUUUUUACCACUCCUUUCCCACCAACCAUCAGUUUGUGAUUGUUCCCAAGCUUAACAUUAUGUGUGAAGCUAGUGUCUAAACUUGAGAACAUACCUCUUUCUCCACACAUAUGGUUUGAACAUCCAGAGUCCACGAACCACACAUCUCUUCUUCGAGCACCUUGAAGCUCCACAUACGUCAUGAGAAGAACUUCAUCCUUUUCUUUGAUCUCUGGAAAAUUUGCUCCACUAUUCCCAUUUGGACAUUCAUAUUGGAAAUGUCCAAGAUUAUGGCAGUUGUAACACUCGAUUGUUGUUUUGUUGAAUGAGCGUCCUCUGCCCCUGCCUCGGCCUCUGUAUGAUCCUCUGCCUCUGCCUCUAACAUUUAGAGCCUGAUCAUCUUCUUCAUGACUGAUCUUCUUUAAAAAAAUUUCAUGUACAGACAAAGAGCUUUGCAGUUCGUCAAUCGUCAUCCUUUCUGUGUCUUUUGACUCCUCGAUAGACACCACUACAUAUGUGAAUUUGUCGGUCAGAGUUCGAAGUAUUUUCUCAACAAUCUUUGAAUCUGUCAUGUCUUCUCCGUUGCUUCUCAUCUUGUUGGAGACAGACAUUACUCUUCCAAAGUAAUCAUCAAUGCUCUCUUCAUUCUUCAUUUCAAGAACCUCAAAAUCUCUUCUUAAGGUUUGGAGAAGAGAUCGCUUCACCCUUUCGUUGCCUCCAAACUUUUUCUUCAUCGAAUCCCAAAUGAUAUUGGAUGUUUUGCGAUUCAAGAUCUGUUCAAACACAACCCGAUCAAUUGCCUGGAACAGGUAGUGCUUCACUUGAUGGUCCUUCAUCUUGAUCUCAUCAAGACUUUUCUUCUCUGCUGCUGUCAUUUCAAAUCCUUCUGCUGGUUCGUCGUAACCCUCAUCCACUAGACUCCACAGACCCUUGGCACGUAAGAGAUUUUCCAUCAGUUCACUCCAGUGGUCAUAGUGACCAUCAAAUUGUGGAAUCUUGGUGAGUGUUUUGUCGUCGCUCAUUUUUCUUUCUCUUAGAUCACUCUGUUUGCUCUGGCUCUGAUACCAAAUGUGAACUGUAAGUUUGAGACUUAGCAAAUGCACUAGAAUAAUCUACCUUUGUUCAUAGGUUCCAAUGCCUUUUUAUAGGAAAUACAUGAAAGUUAAAGAAAAACGAAAAUACAGGACAUGACUCAACUAACUCCACUAUUGACAGAAAAAUAGGAAACAGAAAUUGACUUGUUCCAACCCUGAAGAAUAGGUCUUUGUUGAAGUAAACUAAAACUGAAGAAAAACUAACUCAAUAUUUUGACCAAUUUUAAUUCCCUCGCUAUAGUGACGCCUAUCUCACGAUAAUGAUAACUUACUUUGCUAUAGCAGUUUGAACGCCGCUAAAGUGGGAGGCCGGAUGCUAUAACGAAAUAGACGAAAGUUCAACAACCUCAACUCCUGAAAAAAGAUUCUUUUUACAAUACAACAUUUUCCCUUGACAACAUAACUCGUGUCUUUCAUACCAAACUUAAUUUUUAGAGUUCUACAAAAUCUGAAUUCAAUUUUGAAAGGACUUAUGAAUUUCUAAUGUAUUAGUAUACAUCAAUCAAACCUCAAACCAAGACCCUACCCUUUCCUAGAUGACCCUAGACUUCAUUUAGCCUAAAUUCCAACACUUGCCUAGCCAUGAAUUUUCAAGUUACUAUCAAAAAAAUUGUGGCCUAAAUUUCUUCUCUACUUGUUCUUGUAGAAAUUGUAGUAUGCUUUAAUCAGUCCAUGAACCGGCGCCUCACAGGCCGAAAAUUAAAUGCUAAAAUUACUACUUCUUUUUUUUUUUGUAGUUAUUGUUUCUUGUCAAAUGCUCCAAUGUCAAGUUAUAGUGCAUGACAAUAAAAUAAAUUAUAUUGAUAUCUAGUACUUUAAAUUGAGUAAUUGAUGAAAGAUAUCAAGAAAAAUGUUUGAUAAUAUGAACAACGAAAUAGGCAAAAUGCUUUCGUAAAAAUGAUAUUUGGUCUCGAAAUUGCUAUAGGAUUGCAUGCACAUAGUUUUUAGUGGAUAUGACACGCCUAUUAUGCACUAAACAAAUAAUUAAGAAAUUCAAUUAUAAAAUAAGGAAUACCCUGCUAAAAUAUAUGUUGAAUCUGCAAUUGUUUGAUUUAAAUGAAAAUUGUGGUAACUAAAGAAUGAAAGAACACAUUCUUUCAUUUUAAAGACACCAACUAAAAAAUAAAAAGACACUCUCUUUUAUUUAAAAUACUUAUGUUAUUAGUUUAAUCUAAACUAAAUUUCAACAUAUACAAAAGUGAAUUUUUGUCCUUGAUGAGAUGUACUGCUAAUUAAUUUUGAUGAACAAAAUUCUCAUGAUCAUAUUAUUAACCUCGAGAGUUUGUUUUACAAAAUUUUGGACAUGUAAAUGACACAUGAUACUUAAUUUGAUUUCUUCAUUAACUAAUAGUAUUAGUUUCUACAAUUGGAAAAGAGACAAACAUGUUGAAACAUUGACAAGUUUAAGCUUAAAUUACAUCAAGUAGAGGUACUAGGUAGGGACAAUAUGAUAUGUUCUAUGUAACUAGUACUCAAGUCCUAUUACACAUUAGUUUAACAUUGGCCCAUAGGCCCAUUGUUACAUUUGGGCCUUUAUACAUUCGACAAAGCCUUAACAACUCCAACAAAAUCAUGCUUAAAUCCAUAUUCUGCAAGAAAAUGCUUUGUUGGAAUGAUUUUUGUGUACACAUAGAAGGCUACACAACCAAUAGUUGGUCCAACCCAAAAGAUCCAAUGUCCAUCCCAAAGGUGACCUCCUCUAAUAAUAGCUGGCCCCAAACAUCUCGCCGGGUUAAUCCCAGCCCCUCCGUAGCCCUUUUUUGCGGUCACCGUGGUCGAGAUAAACACUAGAAGGCCUAACACUAGACCAACAAUGGACAAGACAGUUACA